CAUACAUAUGUGCUUGACAUUUUGUUAUAGCAACAAAUAAUGUUAUCUUAUUGGAGGUUCUGUUAUAGCAACAAAUAAUGUUAUCUUAUUGGAGGUUCUGUUAUAGCAACAAAUAAUGUUAUCUUAUUGGAGGUUCUGUUAUAGCAACAAAUAAUGUUAUCUUAUUGGAGGUUCUGUUAUAGCAACAAAUAAUGUUAUCUUAUUGGAGGUUCUGUUAUAGCAACAAAUAAUGUUAUCUUAUUGGAGGUUCUGUUAUAGCAACAAAUAAUGUUACCUUAUUGGAGGUUCUGUUAUAGCAACAAAUAAUGUUAUCUUAUUGGAGGUUCUGUUAUAGCAACAAAUAAUGUUAUCUUAUUGGAGGUUCUGUUAUAGCAACAAAUAAUGUUAUCUUAUUGGAGGUUCUGUUAUAGCAACAAAUAAUGUUAUCUUAUUGGAGGUUCUGUUAUAGCAACAAAUAAUGUUACCUUAUUGGAGGUUCUGUUAUAGCAA
This is a long non-coding RNA of Mytilus californianus (California mussel), 489 nucleotides long. RefSeq lists it as uncharacterized. The transcript has 3 exons. NCBI's taxonomy places the organism in Eukaryota, Metazoa, Mollusca, Bivalvia, Mytilida, Mytilidae. The record is from RefSeq and is a predicted model, not a curated record.